ACAGCAGUUAUUCUUUCAUUUUUGUUCACUAGCAUUGGCUUUUGAAUGGUUUUUGAGAAAAUAAAUGCAUUUUAGUGUUUGCAGUGAAUUAGUAGGCAAUGUCAAAUCGUUGCAGUGUUUUAGAGGACAUUUUAACAGAAUUGACGGCUCUGGCGCAGAUGUUUCAAACAAAAACUUUUGAAAAACAGUGAUAAAUUCCGUUGAUAUUAUAUUAUUUAUCUUGGUCUGUGAGCAUAAACUGUGAAGAAUGGAGUGAGGUUGAGCAAAGUUAUAGCCAGAUCAUUAUCAACUUGUACUUGCAGUCAUGGUAAUGUGGCCGAUUAAAGCAAAUGAUGAACUGAACUUUUUAAAUAGGUAUCUAUAACCUAUCCAAACAGAAGAACAUGCUGAUGCUGUCAAGCUAGAUUUCUCAAUGUAAGCAGUCUGUUCCAAGCACUGUUCUACUGAAAAUGUUCAUCCAGACAUCCGACCAGCAACCUAUCCAGUGAUGCUGUGGCUGAUGGCGGAGGCAAAGCACCAACUGUCCUUGGUGCCUGGUGUGUGCACAAGUAGACGAGUGCCGUUCAUCGCCGCCGUCUUCCUGGACCUUUGCUCAUCGCCGUCGUCUGUCGGGGCCUGCAAUUCGGUCGUCGCCGUCUGCCGGGGCCAGCCAGCUCCAGAUUGAUUCCUGCCUAUCGCCGCCGUUUGCGGGGACCUGCAAUGUCGCUGCCGUCGUCAGCCAGAGAAGCUGGUCACAGUCAUCGAAGAGCAGUGAUCUCCGCCGUUCGAAGAGCUGUGUAAUAUAUAUCAUGUGUUGUCGCCUGUCAGUCCCCAGUGGAGUUCUCAUGUGCCGUCCGUCGACUGGCGAUUCCCAUGAUAUGACAUCUGAGGGUCACCCACCGGCCACCGUUUACCGGCGACUCUGAGGGCCGUCAGCCCCGAGUCCCUAGAUAUCCUCAGCUCGCACCCGGCAGCAGUCUCUGUCGCAUCUGGAGUGUAGUCUAUUCUAAAAUGCUUGAUGCAUUGCGCUGCUUCUUGUGUUAAUCUGCUGGGAAACUUGGAAAGUGUUAACAACGGUAUAUGUGCGAAGUGGAAGCCGUGUAAAGACGUCUGCGUAUUCAUUUCAACGGUGGUUAAUUCGAAGUGAUAUUGGUCGAAA
RNAcentral lists this long non-coding RNA (1138 nucleotides) under Amphibalanus amphitrite. RNAcentral describes it as "uncharacterized LOC122368535". Lineage: Eukaryota; Metazoa; Arthropoda; Thecostraca; Balanomorpha; Balanidae. The record is from RNAcentral.